AAUCCAUGAUUAGGACAACUUUUAAGUAAGGCUUUGCACCUCUCCCAUGCUUCGCAGAAGUGGUCAUCUACUCCUUGGGAGAAGGUUGCAGUGGUAGUUUUGUAACU
This is a non-coding RNA of Vigna angularis (adzuki bean), 107 nucleotides long. NCBI's taxonomy places the organism in Eukaryota, Viridiplantae, Streptophyta, Magnoliopsida, Fabales, Fabaceae. The record is from Rfam.